Molecule: ribosomal RNA, 1338 nt
Filed under: uncultured bacterium
Lineage: Bacteria
Description: bacterial SSU rRNA
Rfam family: Bacterial small subunit ribosomal RNA
Source: RNAcentral
GACGAACGCUGGCGGCGUGCUUAACACAUGCAAGUCGAACGGAAAGGCCCUUCGGGGUACUCGAGUGGCGAACGGGUGAGUAACACGUGGGUGAUCUGCCCUGCACUUUGGGAUAAGCCUGGGAAACUGGGUCUAAUACCGAAUAUGAUCAUGGCCUUCAUGGGUUGUGGUGGAAAGCUUUUGCGGUGUGGGAUGGGCCCGCGGCCUAUCAGCUUGUUGGUGGGGUAAUGGCCUACCAAGGCGACGACGGGUAGCCGGCCUGAGAGGGUGUCCGGCCACACUGGGACUGAGAUACGGCCCAGACUCCUACGGGAGGCAGCAGUGGGGAAUAUUGCACAAUGGGCGCAAGCCUGAUGCAGCGACGCCGCGUGAGGGAUGACGGCCUUCGGGUUGUAAACCUCUUUCAGCAGGGACGAAGCGCAAGUGACGGUACCUGUAGAAGAAGGACCGGCCAACUACGUGCCAGCAGCCGCGGUAAUACGUAGGGUCCGAGCGUUGUCCGGAAUUACUGGGCGUAAAGAGCUCGUAGGUGGUUUGUCGCGUUGUUCGUGAAAACUCACAGCUUAACUGUGGGCGUGCGGGCGAUACGGGCAGACUUGAGUACUGCAGGGGAGACUGGAAUUCCUGGUGUAGCGGUGGAGUGCGCAGAUAUCAGGAGGAACACCGGUGGCGAAGGCGGGUCUCUGGGCAGUAACUGACGCUGAGGAGCGAAAGCGUGGGGAGCGAACAGGAUUAGAUACCCUGGUAGUCCACGCCGUAAACGGUGGGUACUAGGUGUGGGUUUCCUUCCUUGGGAUCCGUGCCGUAGCUAACGCAUUAAGUACCCCGCCUGGGGAGUACGGCCGCAAGGCUAAAACUCAAAGAAAUUGACGGGGGCCCGCACAAGCGGCGGAGCAUGUGGAUUAAUUCGAUGCAACGCGAAGAACCUUACCUGGGUUUGACAUGCACAGGACGUGCCUAGAGAUAGGUAUUCCCUUGUGGCCUGUGUGCAGGUGGUGCAUGGCUGUCGUCAGCUCGUGUCGUGAGAUGUUGGGUUAAGUCCCGCAACGAGCGCAACCCUUAUCUUAUGUUGCCAGCGCGUAAUGGCGGGGACUCGUGAGAGACUGCCGGGGUCAACUCGGAGGAAGGUGGGGAUGACAUCAAGUCAUCAUGCCCCUUAUGUCCAGGGCUUCACACAUGCUACAAUGGCCGGUACAAAGGGCUGCGAUGCCGUGAGGUGGAGCGAAUCCUUUCAAAGCCGGUCUCAGUUCGGAUCGGGGUCUGCAACUCGACCCCGUGAAGUCGGAGUCGCUAGUAAUCGCAGAUCAGCAACGCUGCGGUGAAUACGUUCCCGGGCCU